GGAUUUUAAAUGUGGACAGGAAUUUAAAUCCUUGUUGGGCACAUAGCAGCUAUGGUACCAUGGGCAUGAUACCUAACCUCUGUAAGGUACAAUGGGGAUAAUUAUAUUCCCCUCUUAGGGAGGUCAUGAAAAUGAGUUGAGAUAAAACAUAUGAAAGCACCCAGCACUGGCAUGCUCAGUCCAUAUUAGUUUCUCAUUCUCUUCAUUAUUUUCAUUAUCAUCAUUGUCACAUUCUCACCUUUUUUCAUCAUUGUCAGUAGCAGUCGCAUCAACCCAGUGUCCUGACUUUCAAGACAACCAUGAAAACGCCCCAACUGCUGCUAAAUUACCAGCAACAAGGAUCUGGAAUUUUCUUGACAAGAGCAGUGCCUAUCCUGAGGCAAUCGUAUUUCUCCUUGACUUCUCUCCAGUAUCAGCUUGUUGCUUGACACCACUGCACAGCCAACUGUAUAAUGUGGAUCCAAUGAUAAAAGGACAAAGGAUCGUAAUGGGUACAGUGCAAGAGGAAGUCUUGGGACAAGCAAGAAGAUAGACAGGAAGCUGUUGCCCUAAUCCAGGUAUGAGAUCCUGGUAGUGAAGUUGAACAGUGAUAGUAAGGGGAGGAUUCUAGAGAUAAGCUAUAGUCAGUGAGAGUGAGAGGGAAUCGCUGAUAUUCCAAAGUUUGUGACUUGAGCCUAACAAUAGAGAAUAACAGUAGAGGAACAGGACUAGAGAGAAUUUAGGAACGUUAUAUGUGGAGACAUUCUUUAAGCGAUAUCCAGUUGGAAGUUGGAAUACUGUUUUGGAGCUCACAGCAACGUGUGACUCUGGUCCCCCAGUGUCUAUAUGUGCAGAGGAUGGUUUUGUAUCCAAAUAGAGAUCUGAGCUCAAGGUAAUUCUUAAUAUACAAAAUAUAGGGCUCAGGCCACCAUGUUACAGGUCAAGACUCAUCUUCGUGAUUGCCAAACUUAGAGUUCUGUAUUUGUUUUCUUUUGCCACAUAUUACUCCAAAACUUAGAAGCUUAAGCAUUUGCAAUCUCACAAUUUCUGUGGGUCAGGAAUCCAGGUGGAGCUUAGCUGUUUGUCUCUAACUAAGAAUCUCUCAAAAGGGUAUAGUCAGGGUGUGAGAUAGGGCUGCAGUCAUCUCAAGAGUAAUCUUGGAGAGGAUCUAUUUCCAGGCUUCCUCAUGUGGCUGUUGGCAGGCUCAUGUCCUCACUGACUGUUUGCCAGUGACAUCAGCUCCUUACCAUUUGGACCUCUCCCUUG
Molecule: long non-coding RNA, 1245 nt
Filed under: Macaca mulatta (Rhesus monkey)
Lineage: Eukaryota; Metazoa; Chordata; Mammalia; Primates; Cercopithecidae
Description: lncRNA (ENSMMUG00000054140.1)
Source: RNAcentral